This 274-nucleotide unclassified non-coding RNA is filed under the name Hevea brasiliensis (rubber tree). The record is from RNAcentral. Lineage: Eukaryota; Viridiplantae; Streptophyta; Magnoliopsida; Malpighiales; Euphorbiaceae.
CUCACACCGAACAAUAGAUUAGACUUAGUAAUAACAUAAUUAAUAAUAAAUAAAAACCCGAGUUGCACCUCCAGCUAGGCUCCAUUAUUAUAAUAUUUUUGUAACGAAAAUAUUAUAUUUAAGAUGCACAAGAAAUAUAAUUUCUAAUUUCACCCAAAAUCAUACAGAUCAUUAAAAUAAGAUCAGCGAAUCAUCUGCAGCAUGAAAAUCACAUUCCACAACUUGAAUUCAUAACUAAAUGAGAGACUUAUGUUAUGUGACAAAGGAACACCUU